RNAcentral lists this ribosomal RNA (459 nucleotides) under uncultured bacterium. RNAcentral describes it as "partial 16S ribosomal RNA". It matches the Rfam family "Bacterial small subunit ribosomal RNA", at positions 338 to 795 of the family's 1533-position model. The record is from RNAcentral.
CCUACGGGUGGCAGCAGUGAGGAAUAUUGGUCAAUGGGCGGGCGCCUGAACCAGCCAAGUCGCGUGAAGGAUGAAUGUCCUUCGUGUUGUAAACUUCUUUUGUCGGGGAACCAAGGCGGAGACGCGUCUCCGGAUGAGUGUCCCCGAAGAAAAAGCAUCGGCUAACUCCGUGCCAGCAGCCGCGGUAAUACGGAGGAUGCGAGCGUUAUCCGGGUUUAUUGGGUUUAAAGGGUGCGCAGGCGGGGGAUAAAGUCAUCGGUAAACUGUCGGGGCUCAACCCCGUACCGCCGUUGAAACUGGUUUUCUAGAGUUGGAGAGAAGUAGGCGGAAUUCGUGGUGUAGCGGUGAAAUGCAUAGAUAUCACGAAGAACUCCGAUUGCGAAGGCAGCAUACCGGCUCCAUACUGACGCUGAGGCACGAAAGCGUGGGGAUCGAACAGGAUUAGAUACCCCAGUAGUC